RNAcentral lists this long non-coding RNA (298 nucleotides) under Elaeis guineensis (African oil palm). RNAcentral's name for it is "long non-coding RNA (EGUI_LNC033931)". The record is from RNAcentral. Lineage: Eukaryota; Viridiplantae; Streptophyta; Magnoliopsida; Arecales; Arecaceae.
AUGUAUAGGAAUGGCUAUAGCUCUCUAAUAUGUUUGCUUCAUGACUUAAAUCGAAAUUAGAAUAAAAUUUGAAUAUGAGGAGAGAGUAGAGGUUGGACUUUGGUGGACUAAGACAUUAGCUGUCAUGCCUCCGACCCAAGAUUAUGAGUCGAAGGUCAUGACAACCGCCGCAUACUCAUAGAAAGCUUUUCUUAUAAGCAUGCAAGGCAUCUCAUCAUGACAUCAUACAUAUAAAGUUAAAUAAAUUUCAAUCUUAAUGAUCAAACCUUAGUUCAAAUAAUAAAUCAAAACUCAGUGU